RNAcentral lists this ribosomal RNA (253 nucleotides) under uncultured bacterium. RNAcentral's name for it is "partial 16S ribosomal RNA". It matches the Rfam family "Bacterial small subunit ribosomal RNA", at positions 524 to 776 of the family's 1533-position model. The record is from RNAcentral.
UACGGGGGGUGCAAGCGUUAUUCGGAAUUAUUGGGCGUAAAGGGCGCUCAGGCGGUUGAAUAAGUCAGAUGUGAAAGCCCUUGGCUUAACCAAGGAAGUGCAUUUGAUACUAUUUGACUUGAGUAUGGGAGAGGGAAGUGGAAUUCCUGGUGUAGAGGUGAAAUUCGUAGAUAUCAGGAGGAACACCGGAUGCGAAAGCGACUUCCUGGACCAAUAAUCACGUGGGGGCGCGUAGGCGUGGGGAGCAAACAGG